UGAAAAACGAUUCCCGUAAAAUUGAAGUCACUGCAGCGUAACCGUGCAGGAAGCUAUUUUGUUGUCAUGUGACAAGAAACCAAUAAAACAGAGAAGACACCUUCAGACCCUCGUGACUUUAAGAAAAUAUUUGACCUAAACUGGACAAGUGGCAAAAGAAAAAUAGCUUAACUUUUACACGUUUACAACAGUUUACAUUUUAAGAGCUUUUUUUCUUUUCUUUUUUAAAGCAAAUGGUCAAACGUUUUUUCCAAAAAGUGUUCGACAUGGAUAUAAAAACAAAUUUUCUAAAAAAGCUUGCACUUGUCAUCGACCCUUAGUAUACGUUAGGAAUAAUACUAAAACGGCAUCAGUGGAAAUCAAGAACAGUAGCUAAGAAAUAAACCUUGUGCAUAAUUAAAAUAGACUAACUAUAUGUAGCCUAUCAAUCCAUUUUUUGUCUGACUAUUUUCUCCUUUCAACAUAGAAAAAAAGUAAAAGGAAAAGAAAAAGAAACGAAGUAGUACAAUAUCAGUAAAUGUGCUAAACCUGCUGAUUUGACAGUGUCCAACAUAAACAGCGACAGGGAAGCGAAGGCCAGAGAGCUGAAGAGAAGUCGUGAUUUCCGUGAGGAGGGGGGCUCGCGAGGGGCGCUGAGACCGCGGACGAGGGGAACUGAUGUCAAGGUCUUUUUUCCUCCUUAUCGAGCGACUGCUGAAAAACUUUCUGCACUCCUCGAGUGAAAGAAAAAACCCGAAGAGAAGAGAAGAGAAGAGAAGAGAAGAGAAGAGAAGAGAAGAGAAGAGAAGAGAAGAGAAGAGGAAUCGAUCGCCUCGCACGCGUUCCAGAGCUCGCGUUUCACCGGAGGAGCAAAGUGCUUCUGUUAUUUGAGAGACGGGCUCGUGACCUUGCAGUUACCCUUCCAUGUCGGCGACCUCCGGGUGACCCCCGCGGCGGGAAGAAUAGAUGAGCUUCCGUGAACGAAGGGAGUGAAAGGAACGUCAGAGAGAGGAGCACGUAACGCCGCGCAGACGCCAUUGUCUCCAUACCUCCCCUCUCACCCACUUCAUCUCACUCCACACACACUUACACACACUUUUACAGUUUAUACCUGAAGACAUUUAACCAGCUCAUUAAUUUUAACUAGAGUUGUAAAGGGCACAUUUUUAGUGUCUAGUGUUACAAAAAGACAUAUGCUGCCUACUGUCUAAAUAUUGUAUCAAAUGGCUUUGCAGACACACAGGGGAAUUAUACAGCCUAGCUAAAAAGUACUAGAUGCGGAGGUCUGUCUCACACACACACACACACACACACUUUACUGUCACAGCUUUGUGUAGCGUCUCAAAGGAGAUAGACUUCUGUGGGAGACUGUUAAGGUUUGUUGAAUGUGGUAGCCAUUGUUCAUCUCGUUACAACUACAAAAAUCAUACAGGUACAAUGACAAAGUUGUUUGUCCGAAAACACACACGUGUAGGUUUUAUCUGAGCAUUUAAAGGAAGAAUUAUUUAAUGGAGAGCAAACAGGGGGAAAAAAAGACCCAAGUUUCAGAGGAGAUCUCAAUAAUGUCUCAAACUGUGAUUUGCCAAUAAGGGAAAAAGUAAAAAAACAAAACAAAACAACAACUACCUUUUAAAAAUUAUUUUUACAGUUUUUAUUCAUUUUAUCUCUCUAUACUCUCUUGACCAAGUCAACAACUGUCAUCUUUCUCUUUUUUUAU
Long non-coding RNA from Cyprinus carpio (common carp), 1696 nucleotides. NCBI's taxonomy places the organism in Eukaryota, Metazoa, Chordata, Actinopteri, Cypriniformes, Cyprinidae. The record is from Ensembl.